AAAAUACAGUUAUGCCAGUGAAGUCCCACUCAGAGUGAUAUCUGUAUCUAAAAGAUGAGUGCUCAUCAUCCUAUUAGGCUUUGUCUUGGUGUUGUUCAUCCUGAGAUGCUGAGACAUGGAAAUAAAAAAUCAGAAGGAAUUUAGGGAUAUGAUUACUCAAAAAAGAAACUAUCCUGUCUAAAUUUGAAUUGUAUUGAUAACUAGGUGUUCCCCAGAUGCUAAGAUGUUCUUAAUUUGUAUUUAUUGAAGGAUCGUUAGCUUAGUGCCACAAAAUUUUUCAUACUUUAUGUUAAUUCCAGAUAAGAAAUUUACAAGUUUAUAUCUUUUUUUUUUUUUAAGAUGAGAUCUGGCUCUAUCACCCUGGCUAAAGUGCAGUGGCAUGAUCUAUGCUCAACCUCCACCUCCCUGGCUCAAGCGAUCCUUCCACUUCAGCCUCCCGAGUACCUGGGACUACAGGCACUCACGGCCACACCUGACUAAUUUGUGUAUUUUUUGUAGAGAUGGGGUAUCGCCAUGUUGCCCAGCUUCCUUUGAGGAACAAAAAUCAUUGUUUGCUGUACCUUUGAUCAGAAGAAAAAAGAAAAACUGAAAUUAGUGAAGUCAGUGAAGUCUUCAGUCCCAUCCUGAAUCAUUUUUACCCUCUGUUUAGGGACAGGUCUAGAACGAGUGAGCACAAAACUGAAGAGUGUGCCGAAAAUCUCAGCAAUCAAGAUAACAUUUGAACUCCAUUUUUGAAAAAAAUAAAAAUUAAUACCCACGAAAAA
This 764-nucleotide small RNA is filed under the name Pongo abelii (Sumatran orangutan). RNAcentral describes it as "retained intron". The record is from RNAcentral. Lineage: Eukaryota; Metazoa; Chordata; Mammalia; Primates; Hominidae.